Ochotona princeps (American pika) is the source of this 107-nucleotide small nuclear RNA. The record is from Ensembl. NCBI's taxonomy places the organism in Eukaryota, Metazoa, Chordata, Mammalia, Lagomorpha, Ochotonidae.
GUACUCGCUUCAUCAGCACAUACAGUAAAACUGGAACGAUACAGAGAAGAUUAGCAUGGCCCCUGCACGAGGAUGACAGGCAAAACCCCUAUGAAUGUGCUGUUAAG